GUCCACGCCGUAAACGGUGGGCGCUAGGUGUGGGGAACAUUCCACGUUCUCCGUGCCGCAGCUAACGCAUUAAGCGCCCCGCCUGGGGAGUACGGCCGCAAGGCUAAAACUCAAAGGAAUUGACGGGGCCCGCACAAGCGGCGGAGCAUGCGGCUUAAUUCGAUGCAACGCGAAGAACCUUACCUAGGCUUGACAGUUGGGGAAAUCUGGCAGAGAUGUCAGGUCCGCAAGGGCCCCAAAACAGGUGGUGCAUGGCUGUCGU
This 262-nucleotide ribosomal RNA is filed under the name uncultured bacterium. RNAcentral's name for it is "partial 16S ribosomal RNA". It matches the Rfam family "Bacterial small subunit ribosomal RNA", at positions 793 to 1055 of the family's 1533-position model. The record is from RNAcentral.